AGUGAACGCUGGCGGUAGGCCUAACACAUGCAAGUCGAACGGCAGCACAGUAAGAGCUUGCUCUUACGGGUGGCGAGUGGCGGACGGGUGCGGAAUACAUCGGAAUCUACUUUUUCGUGGGGGAUAACGUAGGGAAACUUACGCUAAUACCGCAUACGACCUACGGGUGAAAGCAGGGGAUCUUCGGACCUUGCGCGAUUGAAUGAGCCGAUGUGGGAUUAGCUAGUUGGCGGGGUAAAGGCCUACCAAGGCGGGGAUCCGUGGCUGGUGUGAGAGUAUGGACCGGCACACUGGAACUGAGACACCGUACAGACUCCUACGGGAGGCAGCAGUGGGGAAUGUUGGACAAUGGGCGCAAUCCUGAUCCAGCCAUACCGCGUGGGUGAAGAAGGCCUUCGGGUUGUAAAGCCCUUUUGUUGGGGAAGAAAAGCAGCAGGUUAAUACACCGCUUUUCUGACGGUACCCAAAGAAUAAGCACCGGCUAACUACGUG
Molecule: ribosomal RNA, 492 nt
Filed under: uncultured bacterium
Lineage: Bacteria
Description: partial 16S ribosomal RNA
Rfam family: Bacterial small subunit ribosomal RNA
Source: RNAcentral